RNAcentral lists this ribosomal RNA (200 nucleotides) under uncultured bacterium. RNAcentral describes it as "partial 16S ribosomal RNA". It matches the Rfam family "Bacterial small subunit ribosomal RNA", at positions 8 to 199 of the family's 1533-position model. The record is from RNAcentral.
AGAGUUUGAUCCUGGCUCAGGACAAACGCUGGCGGCGUGCGUAACACAUGCAAGUCGGACGGGGUCUGGCGGGCUUUCGGGCCUGCCAGGUCGAGUGGCGGACGGGUGAGUAACACGUGGAUAACCUACCUGGUGUGGGGGAUACCCUGUAGAAAUACGGGCUAAGACCGCAUGAGGUGGAGCUUGGGGAGCCGAGCUUC